RNAcentral lists this ribosomal RNA (379 nucleotides) under uncultured bacterium. RNAcentral's name for it is "bacterial SSU rRNA". It matches the Rfam family "Bacterial small subunit ribosomal RNA", at positions 28 to 404 of the family's 1533-position model. The record is from RNAcentral.
GACGAACGCUGGCGGCGCGCUUUAUACAUGCAAGUCGAACGUGAAGCUCGGAGCUUGCUCCGGGUGGAAAGUGGCGAACGGGUGAGUAUCACGUGAGAAACCUGCCCCGAAGACCGGGAUAACACCGGGAAACCGGUGCUAAUACCGGAUGCCCUCACCGGAUCGCAUGGUCUGGUGAGGAAAUGGAUUCCGCUUCGGGAUGGUCUCGCGGCCUAUCAGCUUGUUGGUGGGGUAAUGGCCCACCAAGGCUUCGACGGGUAGCUGGUCUGAGAGGAUGUCCAGCCACACUGGGACUGAGACACGGCCCAGACUCCUACGGGAGGCAGCAGUAGGGAAUCUUGCGCAAUGGGCGAAAGCCUGACGCAGCGACGCCGCGUGA